Molecule: ribosomal RNA, 497 nt
Filed under: uncultured bacterium
Lineage: Bacteria
Description: partial 16S ribosomal RNA
Rfam family: Bacterial small subunit ribosomal RNA
Source: RNAcentral
GAUGAACGCUGGCGGCGUGCCUAAUACAUGCAAGUCGAGCGAACGGACGAGAAGCUUGCUUCUCUGAUGUUAGCGGCGGACGGGUGAGUAACACGUGGAUAACCUACCUAUAAGACUGGGAUAACUUCGGGAAACCGGAGCUAAUACCGGAUAAUAUUUUGAACCGCAUGGUUCAAAAGUGAAAGACGGUCUUGCUGUCACUUAUAGAUGGAUCCGCGCUGCAUUAGCUAGUUGGUAGGGUAACGGCUUACCAAGGCAACGAUGCAUAGCCGACCUGAGAGGUUGAUCGGCCACACUGGAACUGAGACACGGUCCAGACUCCUACGGGAGGCAGCAGUAGGGAAUCUUCCGCAAUGGGCGAAAGCCUGACGGAGCAACGCCGCGUGAGUGAUGAAGGUCUUCGGAUCGUAAAACUCUGUUAUUAGGGAAGAACAUAUGUGUAAGUAACUGUGCACAUCUUGACGGUACCUAAUCAGAAAGCCACGGCUAACUACGUG